This is a non-coding RNA of Salvia hispanica, 529 nucleotides long. NCBI's taxonomy places the organism in Eukaryota, Viridiplantae, Streptophyta, Magnoliopsida, Lamiales, Lamiaceae. The record is from RefSeq and is a predicted model, not a curated record.
AAUAAAGGAAUUGAAGGAGAUCCCUUGUGAAAUUGGUGAAAUACCAACAAUGCAUUCAAUUCACUUGGACUAUUGCAGCGAAUCUGUGGUGGAGUCUGCCAAGAUGAUAGCAGAGGAGCAAGAUGAAAUACAAGUUCGAGCUGUGCUCUUCAACAACAGCAACAACCAAGCAUUACGGAGGAGCCUCGCAAGCCCCAACUUUCAAGUUGAGAUAGACUAUUUUUAGUCUGAAACAUGGAGAUGUAAUCACUCUUUGCUUCCAGGUACUCUCUCUUCUCUCUGUUCAUGGACUGAUGAAGGCCACCUACGUCGGAAGUGGUUCUUGUGGAUGUGCGGAUUGACACCAACUUCUGUUUUCUUUGGGUUCUGUUUCCGCGUUUGUCUUUGCAAAUACUGUUUGUACAUGUUUGCUUGUUCCAUUGAAUUUGUAAUUCUUAACUGCCAUAAAAUCCAUUUUUGUUGCUUCCAGUAGGCUUGUUUAUUAACUUAAAUUUGAUGCAAAUAAUAAAUUAUUGGCUUGUUUAUUUUA